Long non-coding RNA from Callorhinchus milii (elephant shark), 264 nucleotides. RefSeq lists it as uncharacterized. The transcript is spliced from 3 exons. The record is from RefSeq and is a predicted model, not a curated record. NCBI's taxonomy places the organism in Eukaryota, Metazoa, Chordata, Chondrichthyes, Chimaeriformes, Callorhinchidae.
AAUAUUCUGGGAGAUGGUGGACCGAAGCAACCGAGUGAGGCUCUGACGAACCCGAAGUUCAAAAUAGAGGUUCUGGAGCUGCAGGACCAUAAUCUGGGAGAUUGUGGAGUGAAGCAACUGUGUGAGGAUCUGAUGAACCUGGAGUGUAAAAUACCGAAUCUAUGGCUGAGGGACAUCGAUCUGACAACUGAUAGCACCGAGGACCUGUCCUCCGAUCUCAAAAUAAACCACAAACUGACGGAGCUGAACUUGAGUCAUAAUAAU